AGCGAACGCUGGCGGCAGGCCUAACACAUGCAAGUCGAACGAACCUUUCGGGGUUAGUGGCGGACGGGUGAGUAACACGUGGGAACGUGCCGUUAGGUUCGGAAUAACUCAGGGAAACUUGUGCUAAUACCGAAUGUGCCCUUCGGGGGUAAGAUUUAUCGCUUUUAGAGCUGCCCGAGUCUGAUUAGCUAGUUGGUUGAGGUAAUGGCUCACCAAGGCGACGAUCAGUAGCUGGUCUGAGAGGAUGAUCAGCCACAUUGGGACUGAGACACGGCCCAAACUCCUACGGGAGGAAGCAGUGGGGAAUCUUGCGCAAUGGGCGAAAGCCUGACGCAGCCAUGCCGCGUGAAUGAUGAAGGUCUUAGGAUUGUAAAAUUCUUUCACCGGGGACGAUAAUGACGGUACCCGGAGAAGAAGCCCCGGCUAACUUCGUG
This 434-nucleotide ribosomal RNA is filed under the name uncultured bacterium. Its description in RNAcentral is "partial 16S ribosomal RNA". It matches the Rfam family "Bacterial small subunit ribosomal RNA", at positions 29 to 507 of the family's 1533-position model. The record is from RNAcentral.